Molecule: ribosomal RNA, 715 nt
Filed under: marine metagenome
Description: bacterial SSU rRNA
Rfam family: Bacterial small subunit ribosomal RNA
Source: RNAcentral
GGUAAUACGAAGGGACCUAGCGUAGUUCGGAAUUACUGGGCUUAAAGAGUUCGUAGGUGGUUGAAAAAGUUGGUGGUGAAAUCCCAGAGCUUAACUCUGGAACUGCCAUCAAAACUUUUCAGCUAGAGUAUGAUAGAGGAAAGCAGAAUUUCUAGUGUAGAGGUGAAAUUCGUAGAUAUUAGAAAGAAUACCAAUUGCGAAGGCAGCUUUCUGGAUCAUUACUGACACUGAGGAACGAAAGCAUGGGUAGCGAAGAGGAUUAGAUACCCUCGUAGUCCAUGCCGUAAACGAUGUGUGUUAGACGUUGGAAAUUUAUUUUCAGUGUCGCAGCGAAAGCGAUAAACACACCGCCUGGGGAGUACGACCGCAAGGUUAAAACUCAAAUGAAUUGACGGGGACCCGCACAAGUAGUGGAGCAUGUGGUUUAAUUCGAAGAUACGCGCAGAACCUUACCAACACUUGACAUGUUCGUCGCGACUUUAAGAGAUUAAAGUUUUCGGUUCGGCCGGACGAAACACAGGUGCUGCAUGGCUGUCGUCAGCUCGUGUCGUGAGAUGUUGGGUUAAGUCCCGCAACGAGCGCAACCCUCACUUUUAGUUGCCAUCAUUUAGUUGGGCACUCUGAAAGAACUGCCAGUGAUAAGCUGGAGGAAGGUGGGGAUGACGUCAAGUCCUCAUGGCCCUUACGUGUUGGGCUACACACGUGCUACAAUGGU